Molecule: non-coding RNA, 75 nt
Organism: Galeopterus variegatus (Sunda flying lemur)
Lineage: Eukaryota; Metazoa; Chordata; Mammalia; Dermoptera; Cynocephalidae
Source: the annotation of a RefSeq genome assembly
GGCUAGAUAGCUUAGUUGGUUAGAAUGUGGUGCUAAUAACACCAAGGUCAAGGGUUCAAAUCCCCUUGCUGGCCA